RNAcentral lists this long non-coding RNA (774 nucleotides) under Oryctolagus cuniculus (rabbit). Its description in RNAcentral is "lncRNA (ENSOCUG00000034561.1)". The record is from RNAcentral. Lineage: Eukaryota; Metazoa; Chordata; Mammalia; Lagomorpha; Leporidae.
AAUGUCCUGCUGAAAACUCAGCUGAGUUCCUGGCAGUGCGUGACGUCAAGACACUUUAAAUGCCCCUGAUACGGCUCCCUCCUGCCCGCUCUCCCUUUUCCCGGCCCUUGGCACCACGUGGGGGCGAGACUGAGAGGUUCUUACCACGUGGGAAUCAGCCAGUUAGACGGUCCCCGGGUAUCGCCAGAUCUGCCAGGCGCCCUCCUCUUGGACUGGGUUUCUGGGGCCGACAAGACGAACAUGGGCGACCCUUGCCUGCUUUGAACCCCAGCUUCUGCGGGAGUGGAUCUCAGAGUUUGGUGGAGAAUACGGAUUCCAGCCCCAGAAAUACUCAGCAAUUCACAUGGUUCCCCCAAGACUCCAGGUUCAGACUUCUGGUGCGCCCUUAAAUCCAAGUGAGAGGUCACCUUCAUCGCUGACAACGAGGGCCCAAUCCCAGCGAUACCCGGAGGUGCACCAGGUGGGUCAGAGCCACAGCUUUGUUCCAUCCUGGUAAGCUGUGACCCCUGACCCCUCAGGAGCGUUCACUCCCCUCACUGCCCUCGCCACCGUUCUCCCCUGAAAUCUACCUCUGAGCCUGCCUGAUAAAGGGACAAAAACCCUCUGCAGCCUCCGACUGACCCCAAUCCCCACCGGCUGAACGCUGCAGCUUCUCCCUCUUGAGCCGAAGCCUGGCCGCUUCCCUACUGUCUCCUUACUCCAUCCCGAUCUCCCCUUGGCUACCAGGAGCAUCAUCCUAAAAGUUAUAUGAAUAAAUACUCAGCCCUGUCGCCA